GCCAAAUUUUUCCCAGCAAGUUGCAAGAAGAAGCUGCAGUCCAAUAUAGAAUAAGUCAAUUGCUUUCUGUAAGAAGAAACUUUGAAUUUUUCUUAUAUAAACAAUAAUUUCAUCAUCUUAUUUUCUUUACUUCACCUGAAAAGCAAAAGAAAAAUUCUCAUCAGAGCAAAAAUUCUGGUAUUGUUAUUUUCUUACCUUUAUAUUUUGGGUUUGAGUAUCUUUUGUAUUUUCCGUAAAAAAACAACAGAAGUUCUGGCUAAUCCGUGGUGGACAGGACAUCAGGUAGGAUUACCUGGGGUGGUGGAUCAUCCCCACCACCCGUCAGGUAAUCCACCUGGUUUUAUGAACAAACGUCCCCACACCGAACUUUUCAUCAACGAAACCAAAAGAAGAGAAGAAGAAGAAGAAGACGAUGAAGAAAGAGACGACGAUG
This 433-nucleotide long non-coding RNA is filed under the name Medicago truncatula (barrel medic). RNAcentral's name for it is "long non-coding RNA (MTRU_LNC001619)". Lineage: Eukaryota; Viridiplantae; Streptophyta; Magnoliopsida; Fabales; Fabaceae. The record is from RNAcentral.